This 199-nucleotide unclassified non-coding RNA is filed under the name Ascomycota sp. RNAcentral's name for it is "partial contains small subunit ribosomal RNA, internal transcribed spacer 1, and 5.8S ribosomal RNA". The stretch from base 1 to 47 matches the Rfam family "Eukaryotic small subunit ribosomal RNA", at positions 1785 to 1831 of the family's 1831-position model. Lineage: Eukaryota; Fungi; Ascomycota. The record is from RNAcentral.
AAAGUCGUAACAAGGUCUCCGUAGGUGAACCUGCGGAGGGAUCAUUAACGAACGGCCCUCUGGGCCUUCAAACCCCAAAAACCGUGGAAGCGAGCCGUGCUUCGGCGCCCCCGUGGCGCCGUAUUUAUGCAAUGACCAGUCCGUUGUCUGAACUGGAAACAAAUGAUUAAAACUUUCAACAAAGGAUCUCUUGGCUCUC